This 24624-nucleotide long non-coding RNA is filed under the name Brassica rapa (field mustard). RNAcentral describes it as "long non-coding RNA (BRAP_LNC000691)". Lineage: Eukaryota; Viridiplantae; Streptophyta; Magnoliopsida; Brassicales; Brassicaceae. The record is from RNAcentral.
GUUCUUGAGCCUCACAAUCCAGGGAACUACGUUAUGGUUUCUAACCUAUACGCUGAUGCAAAGAUGUGGGACAAGGUGGAUAAGAUCCGAGAGGUGAUGAAACAGAGAGGGAUCAAAAAGGAAGCUGGUUGCAGUUGGGUACAGGUUAAAGACAAGAUACAAAUCUUUGUUGCGGGUGGUGGAUAUGAGUUUCGUAACUCAGAUGAGUAUAAGAAACUAUGGUUAGAAUUACAAGAAGCUAUGGAAAGAUUAGGUUAUGCUCCUGAUACAAGCCUGGUGCUUCAUGAUGUUGAUGAAGCUACCAAGGUGAAUUGGGUUUGUGGACAUAGUGAGAGGCUAGCGACAAGUUAUUCUCUUAUUCAUACCGGUGAAGGGGUUCCGAUUAGGGUUACUAAGAAUCUGAGAGUAUGUGGAGAUUGCCAUAAAUGGAUGAAGAUUGUGUCGCAAGUAACUGGGAGAGUUAUUGUUCUUAGAGAUACAAAACGGUUCCACCAUUUCGCUGACGGUGUCUGCUCAUGUAAAGACUACUGGUGAUCAUGAAAAAAAGUGCUUGAGCUUAGUGCCCUAAGAGUCAUUUGCUGAAGCAUCAUUGUUUGAGAGGUAGAUUGAUCAUAGCCGAAGCGAUGUAACUAAUUUAGUACAUAUGUUAAUGGAAACACAAGCAUUCUUGUUCGGCAAGGACAUUGUCGACGCUGGUAUGAAUAAUAUUUUUGGUUCAAAGAAAAAGAAAACAUAUAAUGAAGAGAAACAAGUGAGGCAAUCAAAGACUGGAGAAAGUUGUUGAGUGUUCACCAAGAAAGGUUUUUGAAGGAAGAUGGUCACAUCACAUGAGGUGAAGCCAAGUCACGCUUGGAGUUUUUUUUUAAGCGCGCUUUGCAAUUUCAAAUUAGGAAAUUUCUUGCUUUUUACUAUAAUUUUGGUUAUUCCAGUUAAAUAUUUUUGUUUUGACUUUUUUUUUUAAAUCGUGAUUAUUGUGGAUAUAUAAAAAAAUUAUUUAUAUCUAAAGAAAAUAACAGAAAAUUUGUAUGGUGGAUCAUAAUGCAUCAAUGAUUUGGUAGAAGUUAGUUUUUUUCAUUACUUGACUUCUCUUUAUUAUAUUAAUAAUGAUUUUGUAGAAUAUUUUGAAAUCCUAUCUUAUUGCAUCAAACAUGUGCUAAAAUUAUUCAAAUUUUAAGAUUAUUGGAUUAGUUGUUCAUAAAAAUAUUUAAAAUCUAGAGAAUUUUUUUGUCAUCAUCUAGAGAUUUUUUUAAAUAUGUACAAAAAAUUGAAUAAUUUCGAUGAUUAUGGUACCAUUUCAAAUGACGGUAUUUGAUAAAAAAAAUGGAAGGCAAAAACUAAUAAAUCACUUUGGAUCUUUAAUUUACAAAUAUUACUAAGACUUUUAUGUAUCCAAAUAAAUCCAAAUCACUAAUCCAAUAGGACCAAUACCCUUAGUAAAAUUAUUUUAAUAUAAACCUUUGUAUAACUCCGUUUAAGUAUGUUCCAAGUGAGAAGACGUGAACUUUGAAGAGAUAAAAGAAGAUUUUCUUUAGUGUUUUUGAGAGAUUAGUCAUCUUAUAAAAUAUUUUUGAAAAGAACGAAGAUCAAGAAUGUCUCCUCUUCAUGGUUCUUGUGGUUGUGCUUCCGUAUUAUGUGUGUUAUCAGCGCGACAAUCCGACUCAUCCCCGUCGUAAUUUUCAUUUGUUAAACAAUUUUUUACUUACUACAUCGGAUUUGAGGGCUGAUGUGGUAGACAUCUCGAUGAAACAAAUUGAGAGUUAUCUGCUAGAUUCACCAAGUAAGAAAAAAACAAGUUAUUUAGCAAAAAAAAAAAAAAAAAAAAAAAAAAAACAAGAUGUCAAAGGGUUUUUCUAAUGCUUUGGAUUGGUUUCCCUGUCUUUUGUUUUUUUUUCUUGUUUGUAAUUAAUUAUAUCUAAAAUAAAUUUGAAUCUAUCACACAUGGUUGGGAUUCGAUUCCAGCCAAGGUUCAGAUUUUAGUGAAAAAUAUAAUCUUAGUUUUGAAAUAAAUAUGGGAUCAGUUUUUUUUUCUUUUCAAUUCCAAAAUAUUUAAAUGAUAAGUUGUUUGGUUCCUUUUGAUUGGAUCAAUUAAUUAGGAUUGAACAAAUGUACGAUUCUACAAUAUUGGAUAUCGAAAAUCCAGGCCAGUUUUUGCUAGUAGCAGCUCAUCACUUGUCACUUGUCAGGAUGCUUCCCAUGAAUAAAGCUAAAGCUACCGUGAAUCCGUGAUAUUACCAAAAAAGAACCGAAGGCAUAAGUGUAUAAGUGUUAUUUAUAUCUUGCAAAAAUUAUUGAAUAUUGACUAUAGUUUGUUAUUAGUCAAUAGUCAAUCGUUUCCAAGUCCAAAUGUGAAACUGCAUAUGCUAUCAAUGUCGCUAUGAAUGAUUUUACGUACUGAACUAUGAAGAGUUUACAUCUCCCAACGCUCCUUACUGACAACAAUUUAACAUGACAAACUGUUUGUACGCCCAGGAACACAUGCAAAACGUGUACGCAGACAAAAUCUACCAACCAAUGUGACCUUACAAAAGAAUAAUUUACUGACUCGAUAUGGUUGGCUGUAUAAUAGUUGCACAUGCAAUAUACAUACUCCCUCCAUUUAAAAAAAAACGUAGCACUUUUGACAUUUUUCGCACAGAUAAAAAGUGAUUGAAAUGUAUUUAAAUUAAUAUUAAUUACAUAUAUUUAACCAAUAAUAUUAAAAAUAAAUAAAUUAUUUAUAAAAUCAAUACAAUUUGCAAUUAUUUUUUAACUGAAAGUAAGUAUAAUUUGUAUUGAAAUUCUAAAGUGAUAUUUUUGUGUAACAAAAAAAUUGUUAGAAUAAAACUUAUUAUGAAAUAGAGGGAAUAUUAAUUAUGAUAAUUACGUAUGUUAUUCUUGUUUGAUAAUUAAUCCAGAUAGUAUUAUAUUUUCUUAUACAAAGCAAUCGAAAAUACAACUUGGGCUGUCGCUUUAAAAAAAAAAGGAAACUUAGACACAUUUAUCAUAAAAGUUUGACCUACAUCGGAUGCCCUGUAAAUGGUUGCCGGAAAAGGAGUACGCAAGUUGAUUGUUUCUUUUUAUCAUAACCCACACUAUUAGUUAUUCUUCUUUCUUUUUCUAUUAUAAUGAUUAUAAAUUGUUGAACGAAGGAAAAAGAUAGUGAAAUGUUUAAUAGUAAAUAAGAAUUUACAUUAUUUUAACAUAACAUUCUUUUACUUAAAAAGAGAAUGAAAAGUUACCGAGAGAAAGAAAAAAAGAAAGACUGUACGUGAUGAUUGUAAUUUACAAAGAUACCUGCUUUUCCUUAACGAGUCAACAAACUUUAAAACUAAUAAGAGUAGCAUUUUAUACUAUUAUGGCCGAGGUAGCUUUCGUAGUUGAGACCAUGCGCAUCAAGGGAUUAUGAGGGGGUCGUGGGCUCGAGUUUUUAGGCCCGAUUGAUUUAAAAAAAAUGAAAAAUGGGUUUUAAUCGACGAACCGGGCCUUACGCUUGAACCCGUAAGAGGCGAGUUCAAGCCACGCGUCGGGCGGUGAGUGGCUUCUCCUUUCCGCGUCGAUGAGGAAGAAAGGAGGGGAUACGCGUGAACCAGUUCAUUUCUCUCAUCAGUGAAAAACGCUAGGGUUUUUUCUCUCCGAGGCGAUAGUCCACGCCGUCGCGAUUCCGUCGUUAUUUCUCCAUCAAAUCGAUUACGUUUUCUCUUCUCCACACUCUUAGGUCAGUAUUGAGUAGAUUGACGGUGUGGUAGCGUAGAUUUUAUGUGCGAUAAGGAUUUGCGAUGGGGUGAUUAUAAAUCGAUUUGGGGAUUUUAUUUUUUAGGGUUUUUAAUGGUUAUGGGAGUUCGAUUGAGGGUUCAGUUACUCAUAUUCUUCCUUAAUUAUGUGCUAAUAAUUUGAUUUCUGUCACAGAUGGAUCCGGCAGAGGAGAGAAGACAUUCAAAGAGGCAACAGGAUCACAUAAACAUGCUAGGGUUCGUCAGCGAUUCAGAGUACGGGAUUCCCAAAAGGUGUCCAUGUGGUGGGAGAAUCAUCGAUGAGGUUCGCCGGAAGGACGACUACGACACUCUUCCGGGGAAGCGGUUCUUCACAUGCAAGAACUACGAGGUAAGUUUGAUUUUAAACGCUUUGAUUAUCGUUUAUGGGUUUGCAAAUUGUAGAGUGUCUGAUAUUUGUUUAUGGUGUAACCAAGGCUGAUGGAUUCCACUAUCGUCAGCCUUGGGUGAUAGGUGUGCAGGAGGAGAUCGAAAGGUUGACUAAGCGGGUGGUGGAGGCUGAAGAAGUGAUGUUGGGGUCGUCGAAUCUCUGUAAACUGAUCGACAGACUGGAGGUUAGUGACAACACAUUUUCAAUACUUGUGUGGUAUGUUUUGCGUGACUAACACUUUUUGUUUGAUGUUUACAUGUCCAGGAUCAGGUUAAAAUGCUCUCUGAGCAGGUAGAUGACCUCACCGUGCAGGUUGCUACGUUGGAGAAGGUCUGCUUCGAAUGAAACCGAAGGUAAGACUGAACCCCACUUUAGAUGUAGUUCGAAAAUGGCUGUUACAAAUUGUUGAUUGGUAUAACCAGUUUAACUAUUUAAUAAGUUAACUAAAAGUGAUGAAAGCUUAAAAGAUAACUACAACAAUAACUACAACUCCAACUAGAACUCUAACUACAACUUUUAAAAAUCUUUAAUUAAUUUUUUGUUGGUUGUUGGUUGCUGUGAACUCUCAAUAGAUUGUACUUAGGUGUAGUUAAUAUUUUCCAGUGAGUUGAUGUGUAUUCACUGCCGUUUGUGAAGUACUUGUGGUAGGUAGAGUUUGUUUAAUUCUUCUGGUUUAGUUAAUUAUCUCAAAUGAAAGCAAAAACUAGUUUAUAAAACAUAGCAAAUCCACAACUAAAAACACACAAACAUUUAAACAACAAACCAAACCCAAAAGAUAAUGGAUCCUUUCUCCUACACCUCUCCCGGGUUUGUUAACCUUUUAGCUUCGCAGAGCAGUCCCCCACACGACGUGGACUCUGCGGAGGCAGUUGGUAACUCACCCGGGUUAGUUAAACCUGUAGAAAGAAGAAAGUGGGUUGUCAAAGAAGACCUUGUGCUCAUUAGCGCUUGGUUGAACACGAGCAAGGAUCCCAUAGUCGCUAAUGAGCAGAAGGCAGGGGUGUUUUGGAAGAGAAUAGAGGAGUAUUUUAACUCAAGCCCUCAGCUCAUUGGCGCCGUUCCUAGAGAAUGGAGUCAAUGUAAGCAGAGGUGGGGAAGGGUGAAUGAGCAGGUGUGCAAGUUCGUUGGUUGCCAUGAAGCCGCUUUGAAGGAGCAGACAAACGGGCAAAAUGAGAAUGAUGUCAUGAAAGCUGCACAUGACAUCUUCUUCAAUGACUUUAAUGUCAAGUUCGCACUUGAACAUUGCUGGAGGGAGCUGAGAUUUGAUCAGAAAUGGAGGUCACACGCGUUGUCGAAAGUUGGUGGAAAGGAGAAGAGGAAGGAAGCAUGUCCGGAGGUGGUGGGUGACGAUGAAGAGGUGAGGCCUCCUGGUGUAAAGGCGAGCAAAGCAGCCAAGCGCAAGAAACACGGGAACAAAGCAGCUUAUGAUCAAAUAGAAACCAUGCUAGCUCUGAAAAAUAACAUUUCUAAACAAAAGAUCCUUGAUCGUCUCAUUGGCAAAAAUGAGGAGACUCUUUCUGAUCAAGAAAAAUCCCUUAAGUAUAAACUAAUUGGUGAAAUGCUUUGAGUUGGUUAGUGCCUUGUAUUGUUGCUUUGCUUAGCGUGAUCGGAUGGAAUGUUUACGUUGCUUAGCUUAACUUUAUUCGAUGCUUAACAUGAAUUAUUGAUUGGGUUUUAUUUUCUUUUGCAGGUCAGAGAGUGCAGGUCACGGGUUGGAGUGAAGGUGUUGGAGUUGAUCAGUCGGUAAAGUUGAAGCCUAGUUUUUUUUUUUAAUGUUGGGGGUAGUUGGACACGGGAAAGUGUAGUGUUUUGUUUCUUGCUACACUUAUUUCAUUCACGGAUUGUCUUAGUAUGUAUUGUGUCAGUCACAACUUGAUUCACGGAUUAUGUAAUAUGGUUUCAAACUCUCUAUAUAUGUUUGCAUUGUAUCAUUAUAUGAAAUAGCACUUCUCUCACUUAUUACUCUCUAGCAAGUUCAUUCUCUUAUAGCACUUCUCUUUGUAUUGACUGAGAUAAGAAUGUUUAGUUGUAAAUGCUAAAAAGUCGAGAUCAUUCAAGUGAUUCCCAUUUAGUACCAGUUAUGAAGGAAGCCGACACAUUCAAGUGAUUCCCAUUUCGCUGCAAGGUGAUUCACAAACGGAGACACACGCAAAGAUCCACAACAAGGUAUAAUAUACAACUUAGUAAUGAAAAAAUUAUAAGAUUAUGAAAAGAAAAGAUUAUAGAGUAAUAAUGAUAGAGUAAUGUGUAAAAUAGAUUAUAGAGUAAUAAUGAUAGAGUAAUGUAUAAAACAAAAUUUAAUGUUAUGACAACUUUUAUAGACUAAUGUUAUGACAACUUUUAUAGACUAAAGUGUAAGAUUAUUCACAUAAAAGAUGAUAGAGUAAUACUAAAAAAAAAAAAAAUAGAAUAUGAAAAAAAAUAAAAGAUUAUGAAAAUAAAUUAUAGCAUUAUGACAACUUUUAUAUUGUCACAAAAGUAAAAGAUUAUGUAAUAAAAAUAUAAUUAUGACAAUUAUUAAGACAACUUUUAUAUUCUUAGGACAACUUUUAUAUAAUUAUGAUGAAAGAGUAUUUUAAAAAUAUAGAUUUUGAAAAUAAUUUAUAUAAUUAUGACAACUUUUAUAUUAUUAAGAAAACUUUUGUCAUGUUAGGAAAAAAAACACCAAUGUCUUCCUCAUCAAGUGAUGAAGUUGAUGAAGCUUUAGAAGAAAUGGUUGACCAAAUAGUUGAUAAUUUCAUCGACUCAGUGAUUCAUGCUCAUCCCAACAAGCCGACGAGAAGAGCUUAUAUCGAAAGACAUCGGGAACAAGGACACAAUCAACUAUGGAACGAUUAUUUCACGGAAAAUCCUACAUACCCACCGAAAAUGUUUAGGAGGCGUUUUCGAAUGAACAAGCCAUUGUUCCUUCGCAUUGUCGAACGUAUAACUAAUGAAGUUCCAUACUUUCAGCAAAGAUGAAAUGCUUGCGGAAGGAACGGGCUAUCUGCACUUCAAAAGUGUACGGCAGCUAUACGUAUGCUGGCAUAUGGUCAAUCGGGAGAUACAUAUGACGAAUAUCUCCGACUUGGUGACAGUACAUCACGUUUAUGUUUAGAAAAUUUCACUAAUGCAAUAAUUUAUUUCUUUGGAGAUGAGUAUCUACGAAGCCCUACACCUGAAGAUCUUCAACGAUUACUCGAUGUCGGAGAGGUACGCGGGUUUCCAGGGAUGAUAGGCAGCAUCGAUUGUAUGCAUUGGGAGUGAAAAAACUGCCCAACAGCUUGGAAAGGUCAGUACACACGUGGUUCAGGAAAGCCGACAAUUGUCUUAGAAGCCGUGGCAUCACAGGAUCUUUGGAUAUGGCACGCAUUUUUCGGAUUACCAGGUACCCUCAACGAUAUCAAUGUUCUUGAUCGGUCACCAGUUUUUGAUGACAUCUUACAAGGUCGAACACCUAAAGUUAAGUUCAAGGUCAACAACCACACUUAUCGUAUGGCCUACUAUCUUACGGACGGAAUUUAUCCGAAAUGGGCAACAUUUAUCCAAUCCAUCCCACUUCCUCAAGGUCCUAAAGCUGAGCUAUUUGCUGAACGUCAAGAAUCCACCAGAAAAGAUGUCGAACGGGCUUUUGGAGUAUUGCAAUCGAGGUUUGCAAUUGUUAAAAACCCAGCUCUACUAUGGGACAAGGAAAAGAUAGGAAAGAUUAUGAGAACUUGUGUCAUAUUGCACAAUAUGAUAGUAGAGAACGAACGACACGGAUACGCUCAAAUUGAUACAUCUGAGUUCGAGUCAGGAGAGUCAAGUAGAAGUUCGAGGGUGCAACGGAGAGAAAGUAUUCAUGUCGGUGAUAUGUUAGGCAUUCGCAGAGAAGUUCGAGAUAAAGAGAAGCAUGAUCGUUUGAAAGCUGAUUUAAUGGAAAAUAUAUGGCAAAAGUUUGGUAAUGAAGAUUAAUAAUGUUUUUAUGUUCUUCUAUUUCUCAAUUUAUGUAAUCUACUCUUAUGUAUUGAAUAAAAAGUUUUAAAAUAUUUAUAAUAUAUUUUAAUAUUUUAUUUAUGUAUUCUCAAUAAUUUGAAAUUUUCUUUUUUUUUUAAUUUAUAUUAUUAUUUUAUUCCUAUGAACUCCUUCUUCGGGUUCACUAAUGCAGAAAACAACAAAUACAGGUUCAUAAUUAUUUGUGGCCCCACCAAAAAAUAUUAAAAAAAUUGGGUGAACCCCAAUGGGAGGUUCACCAAUGCUCAUGCUCUGAAUACUCUUUCCCCUAAAAAAGUUCUUACCUUACGUUCUGCGGUCUAUUAAGUAUUAUCCCUUACCAAAAGCAUAUUAAAUUAAUCAUUUACCGAUGAAAUAUGGUCAUGUAACUAGAUUACUUACAUGUUUUUAGUUAUGUUUAGUAGUGCACAUAACUAAUAUUCUCACCUACGAAAUAUUUUUUUUGCUAUAUUGGAGAGAAGAUCCUACAUCGAAAAUAUAAAAGGGGCUUGAAUAAUAUAUAAGAGACUUGAGCCAAUCCACUAAUUGCCAAUUGGUUUUAAGUUGAAAGCCCAUGAAUAAACCCGAAUCUAACAUGGUAUCAGAGCGGACCCAAUACACUGAUCCAUUAAUCCGAUCCGGACAGUGGCCCGAUCAUCCCAUUAGCUGAUGGCCCAUAGAAGGCUCAGUUCCACCGAGAUCGCUAAAAAAUAAAGCAUGAUUUCGGAGGGGGUAUGAUGGAUUCUGCGAGAUUAAUGGUUAUACGCACCAUUAUCUCGAAGGAGGGUAUUGGAGAGAAGAUCCCACAUCGGAAAUAUAAAAGAGACUUGAGUAAUAUAUAAGAGACUUGACCAAUCCACUAAUUGCCAAUUGGUUUUAAGUUGGAAACCCAUGAAACUUAUCAUGCUACAACUGUCAAUAUAUCAUAAAGGAACGAAUGUUGAUGUUUUACAAAAGUAGACCUACAUAAUUGUCACCUUGGCAAAGAGAAGAACAAAAAUAAGGAAAGAAGAUGCUUACUAAGGGGGAUUUCCUUCAGACGAGCCAGAGGCAUGUGGUCAUUGAACUUGCGUCUGAGUCUUUUAAGACCGUUGCAGGGAAAUUAAAAAGUCUGCGAGUUGUGAUUAUAUGAACUGGAAACAAUAUGAUACAUUUUAAAAAAAUAAUAUGAUACAUGAAAUACGUGUAAAUAAGUGAUAUAAGUGGCAUCGUUGAAACUGUUACAUAUUUUAUUAGUUGUUUUAUUCCGGUUUGGUUAUCCAGACUAACUCAAGUUUAAGUAAUAUAAUGGCCUUUUGACGUCAAAAAAAAAACUGUUAAAAAGUAUAUGAAUACAAACGGAUCAUUGUACGUUUGAAACUAGCUAAUUAUACGAUUAGUGAAGUUAUAUAAAUACUUGGCAGAUGUGUCAUUUAUAAUAUCCUUUUUCUGUCAAGGUUAUAAUAACCUUUCGAAGCACAAACUACUAGUACAUUUCAACCAUUCAUACAUUUUUUUCUUAUAAAUUGUUCUUGGAGAUGCUUUUAGAACAUGCAAGCUCGAUCGAGGAAUAUUGUGAAAAAAAUAGUAGCCAAUAACUCAACCGACACUAAUGCAUAUCUAAUUUUAUAAAACAAAGGUUUCUUCUUAUGUAUUAUAGAAACAAAAAGUUAUCGCCAGGAAGCUAGGAUUUGCUUUGUACGUAUGCCGACAAAACUUGUAUUUCAGAAUUUACUUUUAAGUCUAAUUAGUGGAGUAUUUUGUUUUCCAGUUGGUAUAUGCUAUACGGACCCAUGACAGGCUUGCACCAGCCUAUUACAGUUCUACAGCCAUCCGCCUAAAUACUUUAUAUUUAUUAUUUCAUCGCUAUGUAGCACUUUUGCUUUGCCUUAUUUCCACAAGUCAAUAAUCCGUACUGUGCGCAGAGUGAAAUAAUAAAUUAAAAUUAUUUAUUUAUGUUAGAAUAAAAAAUUUAUCUUAUAGCUUUUUCAAAGAUGAUAUUUAGAUAUUCGUUCGGAUAAAGAUAAUUUAUUCAGAUUUCAAAUUUUAGAGUUAGAAAUUUAAAUAUGAUUCAGAUAUUUACAAAUUUUGAUUUGAAUUUGUUUUGGAUUUGGUUCGAAUCAUUGCAAAUUUGGUUCAGUUUCGAGUUUGGAUACACAUUUUAAUUAUGCAACAUUUUAGCAAAAAUCCAAAUAUGCUUAAUCCUCAAAAUACGAAAAUAAAAAUAAUAUAACAAAUAAAAUUCUGAAUAAUGUAAAACUAAAUACUUAAUUUUACAUAAAAACUAGUUCAAUUUAAAUAUUUAGAUGGAGAAAAUAAUAUAUUUUUAGUAUUUUGAACAUAUUUGGUUAAUUUAUAUAUUUUCAUAUUAAAGAAUAUCUAAUAGAUAUAAAAUUUAAAAUAACUAAUAUAUUUAAGUAUAUAAUUAUGUUUUAGAUAUUUUUAAUAUUCCAAAUAUUUCAGUUCUUGAUCGGAUUCGGGUCCGGUUAUCCAGAUAUUAAACUUUUAGAUCCAUUUGAGUACUUAAUCAAUUUUGGUUUGUGUUUAGUAUUACUUUCAAAUCAAGUUCGAUUCUUCGGAUCUAAAUAUUUUACCCAGACAUACUUUCUUCUACUAAUAUAAAUAAAAAUAAAUAAAUAAAUGUAAAACUAAUAUGUUGGGCUUCUUUUUCAUACAUAAUUAUUGGACCAUACUUUAAAAAUACCAAUAAAAAUGGUUGGGCGUCAUGUCAUUGGGCAUGUUACAAAAUUAACGUAGUCUAUAACCAAUAACGUGUAUUUUAUUAUAGAAAAUUCUUGGUAAAUAUAAUAAAAAUAUGUUCCUAGUGAAAUAGGUUAGAGUUGCGUCGAAAAUAAUGUAAUCUCUGGUACAUACAUCAUUUAAUGUGAUCUCUGGUACAUACAUUGGUAAUUCAACAUAAUUCUCAAUAUGGUAAAUGAAUAUUAUUAUUUCAGAAAUAAAUAUUACUACGAAACAGAUAUUUUUAAAUAAAAAUAUGGAAAUAUCUAAUGCAUCAGUUUCCAGAAAAAAAAAAGUUAUUUCGGUCAAUUAGUUAAAGACCUUAAGGUGUAUAUAUAGAUUAAACGUUGACAAGAGUGGUGAGUUCAUCACUAGUAACUGGUAAGCUUCUUUGUAUUUUACUGUAGUUUGCACUAGUGUUGUUAAUUUUGAGAAUUCAAACUUAUGUCUGAUUUGUACUAGUAUUGCAAAUUUAUAAACAACUUGUUCACGGCAUCCGAAAGAUCGAAAUUGUAACUUGGGGGACUACUUCUGAAACCACAUUUAUUUCCAAAGACAUCCGUAUAUACUCAGUUUAUAAACUGUACGAUAGUUUAUAAACCACAUUUAUAGUAGUGUAGUCAUGCAUACGUGUAUGUGUGAUGUGUCUUACUGACGUCAUAAUUAUUAUACUUAGAAUAUGCAACCUAGGUGAAUUCUGUUACUUAGACUAUUUUUCUGUAUUAAAAACGUCAUAAUUUUCUUUUAAAUAAUAGUAUCAUUUUCACGAUUAACAGAAACAUAUACAAAUAUCGAAGUUUCAAGGCUAUUCACUAAAGAAAUAUUUCCAAUUGAAAAGAAAACUGGUAAGCAAAGCGUAGACUUCUCUUCAGCAAAUAUCAAAACCAAAUACAAGGAUACAAAUUUGGGAACACGACAAUAGUACUGUGGAACGGAACUCGAACAAUUGGAAUAAUAUUCUCUUUACAAAAAAAUCUUAUCUUCUAUUAACUAGGCGGCUUAUAACAUGUGGAUUUUUCACUAAAUGUACACUCAAAUAAUAGAGUCAAGAAAAUUUAGAAGAAAGCGAGAAGAUAAGAUAUUAUAAAAAUCUUAUCUUCUAUUAACGGCUUAAUAACAUGUGUUUUAUUUCUACUGAAUGUAUUUAUUUACACUAUAGAGUCAAGUAAGAAGAAAGAGAAAAGAGCCUAUAAAAAUAAAUAUCGUUUCUAAUUUUAAUUUCAUCAAUAUAAACACCCCACUCUUGAAGAGAACAUUAAACCAAGUGUCAAACAAUGGCAUCAUCUAUCAAAGAAAUCUUCUCCAAAGAUAAUUUCAAAAAAAACAAGAAAACUGUUUUACUAUCUGCCGCCGUAGCUUUGCUCCUCGUGGCUGCCGUCAUCGGAAUCGCCGCCGGAGCUUCAAAAGCCAACGGAAACAGAAAAAAACCUCUAUCACCGUCCUCUCAUGCCGUGCUAAGAUCCGCUUGCAGUUCCACGCUGUACCCUGAGCUCUGCAUCUCCGCCGUGGCCACGUCCGGCGGCGUCAAACUGACGUCGCAGAAAGACGUCAUUGAGGCAUCGCUUAACCUAACAACAAUCGCCGUGGAACACAAUUACUUCACCGUGAAGAAACUGAUCAAGAACAGGAAAGGACUUACUCCACGUGAGAAGACGGCGCUUCAUGACUGUUUGGAGACUAUUGAUGAGACGCUUGAUGAGCUUCAUGAGACACUGGAAGAUCUCCAAAUGUACCCUAACAAAAAAACUCUAAGGGAACACGCUGGUGAUCUCAAAACCCUAAUAAGCUCUGCCAUUACCAAUCAGGAGACUUGUCUCGACGGAUUCUCUCAUGAUGAUGCUGACAAGAAAGUCCGUAAGGUCUUGUUGAAGGGUCAGGUACGUAAAAACAUUAGUUCUUUAGCCAUUACGGCUCUCAUAUAUAGAAUUGGAGAACAACUGAAAAAAAAUAUAAAAUGUGAAAUGUAUAACAUAAGAGUAUGGAAAAAUGAAUUAAUUUAAAAUUUGCAAAUGUCGACUUAUAAAAUGCAUUUUUUUGGUUCACUAAAUUUGUGGAAUCUGAAUUGACUCAACAUAACAUCACUAUUUUGUUAUUUCAUCGUGGGGUUACGAAUUGAUGUUUUUGUUUUGUUGGAAUGCAUGCGAUGAAAAAAAAUUAUAGAUAGGGUUACAAGAAAACUAAAUAAAUCUUACAUCACAUCACAUUACUUUGACAAUUCUCUGUUUUUUGGAAUUUAUUUUCUUAUAAUGAAAUGUUGUUAGCUAGUGUUGGUAGAAAUAGUUGCUAUCAGUUGUUAUUGGAGUGUAUUUAAUUCUGUAAAUUUGUGAUAACAUGAUUGUUCUUAAAUACAGUUUAAAACGAGAUAAGUAAUGUGUAGGUACACGUCGAGCACAUGUGCAGCAACGCACUAGCAAUGAUCAAGAACAUGACUGAUACCGACAUAGCCAAUUUCGAGCUAAAAGCUAAAUCCUUCUCAAACAACCGUAAACUCAAGGAGGAGGAAACAACGGUGUCCGUAGAUAUUGCCGGCGCCGGAGAAGUAGAUGCAGAGGGGUGGCCUACUUGGUUAUCCGCGGGAGAUAGGAGGCUUCUUCAAGGGUCUUCAGUGAGAGCUGAUGCUACUGUGGCUGCUAACGGUAGCGGUAAAUUCAAGACUAUUGCGGCUGCGGUUGCAGCUGCCCCGGAUAAUAGUAAGAGGAGGUAUGUGAUACAUAUAAAAGCUGGUGUUUAUAGAGAGAAUGUGGAAGUGUCGAAGAAGAAAAAGAAUAUAAUGUUUAUGGGAGAUGGUCGGACAAGAACUAUUAUUACUGGAAAUAGAAACGUCGUCGACGGUAGCACCACCUUUCAUUCUGCCACCGUUGGUAAGCAACUUUAUUUAUUUCUUUUUAUUUUUGAAAUAAUAUUUAAAGUAAUUUUGCACGAUGUGGCCCUUCUUUGUGGUGGAAAACCUUUACUCUUUUCAAGUACAUUAAUUAUUCACAUGUAGAUUCUUAGUCGCAGUAGCCACUACAACAUUUGAUUCGCACAUGUAGCCUAGUAACGAGAUAAAAUUAAAUUUGAACUUGAAUUGCCAUAAAUGAACAAAACGCUUUGUAAGAUAUGAGUCAUGUACGAGUCUUGAUCCAUCAUUUUCUUGGCUUUAUUCUUAUGCUUUUCUAGGUCACUUGUCCUGGAUUGGGUUAAUGGCUCAUCCACUCGUGAGAAGAGCCUUUAACCUUUUGUUUUUUUUGCUUGUUUCAUUGUUGUUGACUUUUCUAUCCGAUCUUGUCCCUUAUUUACAUUUGUUACAUAAUUUCAUUAGAUUACACCUUAGUUAUCCUCACUUUUUUUACUAUACUUUUUCAAUUAUUAUCAUCACAUUUCAAGCUGCAUUUAACUUCUUUUCCGCUUUUUAAAAUAUUUUAUAAGGAGAUAAAAUACAAAUCCUUUAAACUAAAGUGAUAUUCCAGCUAAACAAGUCUUAUGUUAUUGUUAUUAGUCCUUUUAGCUAAUGAUUCCGCUAAACUGAUUGAUAUUUUUUUGUGGGGUCUAGCUGCUGUCGGCGAAAGGUUUCUAGCGCGUGACAUCACUUUCCAGAACACAGCAGGUCCGUCUAAGCACCAAGCGGUGGCUCUCCGUGUCGGUUCUGACUUCUCUGCUUUUUACCAAUGCGAUAUGUUAGCUUACCAAGACACUCUCUACGUCCACUCUAACCGUCAGUACUUCGUCAAGUGCCUCAUCGCCGGAACGGUCGACUUCAUCUUUGGAAACGCCGCCGUCGUUCUCCAAGACUGCGACAUCCACGCUCGUCGACCAAACUCCGGCCAGAAAAACAUGGUCACGGCCCAAGGAAGGACUGAUCCUAACCAAAACACAGGGAUCGUUAUCCAAAGAUGUAGGAUCGGUGCCACGUCGGAUUUGCAGCCCGUAAAAGGUAGUUUCCCGACGUAUCUUGGUCGUCCGUGGAAAGAGUAUUCACAAACAGUGAUCAUGCAGUCGGAUAUCUCGGACGUGAUCCGACCCGAAGGGUGGUCCGAGUGGACUGGGACUUUUGCGUUGAACACUUUGACUUAUAGAGAGUAUGCGAAUAAAGGAGCAGGGGCUGGAACUGCAAGGAGAGUGAAGUGGAGGGGCUUUAAGGUAAUCACUGCUGCUUCUGAAGCUCAGAGAUAUACUGCUGGUCAGUUUAUUGGUGGUGGAGGCUGGUUAGGUUCAACCGGUUUUCCUUUCUCUCUCGGUCUUUGAGAUAUUAUUGUUGUGAAGUGUUGUAACCUACAUAUUGUUGGUCGAAUAAUUAUAAAUUUUAUCAAUAAAUAAAAUGUGUAUGUGCUGUGUAUUUUCAUAUCUUUUCUAGAUCCUAGUAUUGGAGAUUAGUUGAGAUUGAUCACCAAUUGAUUCUUAUACGAAUUAUUGAGUUUAAAAAUUAUUUUAGCUUUCUGAAUUUUUCGAACCCGUCCAUUAUCUGAAUUUCCCACUGUAUUUUUUUUGUCAAGAACAUGUUUAUUUUAGGUCAAGAACAUAAUUUUGAAUCAAGAACAUGUUGGGUAGUGUUUUUAAUAUCUGGAUUAUCAAUUCAUGUUUCUUUCAUGUGGUUAUAGUUUUAAUUCACGAAACAUAUAUCCCUAAUAUAUUUUAAGUUUAUUAAAAAAAAUUAAAACGAACGUUGUAAAAUGAAAUCACAAAUCUACUAAUAAUAGCAAUCUCAAUUAAUUUUAAAGGUUGUGUGCUUUUAUAAAAAAUUCAAUUUUUGUUAAUAGUUGUGUUUGUUCACUUAGGUGUCUUUUGAUUAAAGGUUGUAUCUCUUCAAUAUAAAACUACUGUAAAACUUUAUGAAUAAAUGUGAGAGUUAUUACUGCACAAAAGGAGACAAACACCACACCAAUGUUGGUCGAAUAAAUGAGUUCCCAAGUACGUUAGGAUACGCUUUAUGUAUUAAGAGUCGUAAUCUGUUAUUAAGUUAAUUAUUCAUUUAGAGUCAUGAGAAAGAAGAGACACAAUACUUACGGAAGAGACACAACUCUUAAGGAAGAGACACAACUCUUUGUCUAGUAUAUUACAAUGAUAAACUAAAUAUUUAUAUAUCAUUGAAUUGAUUUUUUAUUCACAAUUUGUUUCCUUACAUCAUCACUAUUUGCAGUCAGCUUAAAAUGAGUUCUUAUAAUACUACAACUUAGUUCGCAAAUACAUACAGUACUCAAGCAUGUAACGCCAACCGGAUCAUAUGAUUUUCUUUUUCUCAACUUCGAAUUUCAUUCAACGACAACGAGAGUUUUUUUAUCUCAUAAGAAAUUCAACCACAAAACAAAAAAGAAAUCUAGUAUCACUGAGGAUCAUGUACGCUACCCAUCAAUCUUCACUGUCCUCUUACAACCACUAAGUGAACGAUUCACUCUAUGACACAGAAUGAACCGUUUCUUAAACCAUCCAAUUCAACUACAAAAUAAUCAUUAAUCCGAGAGAAAACAAAGCUAAAUCAGGAUUACCAAUUUCUAUCCGAUAUUAUUGGUGGCAGUUUGAUUGGAGUGGUAUUCAUGUACCAACAACUUGCACACCAAAGGCACAUAUUCAGAGUCGACUACUAACCACUGGAAAGCAAUGUCUCGAUUCUUGGCCCGCAAAGCAAAACCGAAAGUCCAUAACGAAAAAAUGGGCUUUGACGAUAGCAACAUACCGGUUCAGCAAAUCUUUCAAGCUUCCAGAGGUGUCAUCACGCCGGACAAACCAAUUUGAUACAAUAUGAUUUGCAUCUCGUCUCGAAACUAUUCAGUUUUAGUUUUGAAUAUUUUCCAAAUAAGAUAUUUUAGUUAAUUUAGUGGUGAAUAUAAAUAUUCAUGGAAGACUACAUGCAUAUAAGAGCUUCUUUAUUGGUAGUAUAUAGACUGAUAUCUAAUCGAUAAAGAAAAUAAAAUUAAAUAAAAAAUAAGAGAAUGAAACACCAAAAGUUAUGAGCAAGAGCUAAUUUUUUUCUGUAGACAGAGAAGUAGAGAGACAAAGUAGAUCUAGUUGGUCCCGGCGUACGGCAGGCGCGUGCGCGAGCGUGUUGUCGUCGGGACCGGAGUCCGUCCUUUUAAAAGCUUCCUAGUGUCUCUUCUCCGUAUCCUCUCCACUUUUGCCUUGUCUGAACUGUGACUCCGGCCUAUUCCAUGAUGCAUGGCGGUUUGUUGUUUGGAGUGAAGACGCGAUCGUGGAGAAGGUCUUAUGCGGUGGAGAGGUACCUCGUUUAGAUCAAGGUUAGACUACGGGAGGGGGAGGCUUUUACAGCUCUGUCGUCGCCGGUAUUCUCCGGGAGGUGGAGACUCAUUUUGCUCCGCCGCUGCCGGUUCAGUGUUUCGAGAGGGGGAGGCUUACCUAACUCUGCCGUCGUCGUAUAGUCUCCGGAGAGUGGAGGCUAACACAGCUCUACGCUGCCGGCUUGAAACCCGUAGGAAUUUUGGGUGUUAGCGGUUUAAGGUUGGUUUGGUUUUUGUUCUUGUCGGCCGAGUUGAUUUUAUACAGAUCGGAAGAGAUCUCUGAAGAAGAUUGAGCUUUUUGUGGAUGUUAUCACCGACAAGAAAAGAUAGUUCAGGUCGUGGGUGGUCCUAAUGAGAGCGCAGUGAGUCCGAUGACGCUUUUGAUGGAGGACCACCGGAGAUGAAGACAGUUGUUGCGAGGGGUAAGGGCCGGCGAAAGGAAGGUCCGAUGAGGGGUUCUGGCGGCGUUUCAAGGCGGAGAUGAUCAGGUUGAGGCGAUGUGCGACGCAUGUCGAUCCGAGGGCGUAGAUGCUACCACGUGGCAUGCAGCCAGCCUCCUUGAUGCGAGUAUCCCAGCCGACGUCGGUCGGGUUUAUGUGAUUUGGGCUGUGGACCCGUUUAAAGUUUUUAGAGAGUAGCCGGUAAGUUUUUGGGCUUCUGGGCCUUUUGAUGUUGCAAUUGGAACUUCGGUUAUGUAUUAUGGGUUUAGCCCGGAUUAUUAUUAAUUAAAAAAAAAAUCACUUGGCGGAAAAAAAGAAAAACACCAAAAGUUCUAAGAACCUCUACCGAAACUGUGAGACCACCUGUCUCUUUUCCAAUGGUAAAUGUUUAGGUAAAAUAAAUAAAUUAAUUUACAUAACUAACAUGCAUUUAAAUAAUGAUUUUUGAGUGGUAAAAACUCCAAAUGAGCAUCCCCGGCGUUGGUUAUGCUCUAACUGUUAUUCAUUACCCUACUUUAAUAUGUCACAUCAGUUUUUUUGCCGCAUCAUCUUUUUUUUUUCAUAUCUCUUUUUAUCACAUAAUAAUUAAUUCAAUAAAUACUUAAAUUUUAAUCAACUAGAACUUUUGUUUUAAAAAUAUCAUUAUAUCCAUCUAUUUUAAUUCAUCAAAAACUUUUAUUAAAAUAAACAAUUAUCAAAUCUAAGUCAUUUUAAAAUAAUCGAUAAUUUGAACUUUAAUAUUCAAAAAUAAAUAAGAAUUAAGAAUGUAGAAUUUAUUUUUAAAAUCCCAUUUUUAGAGAUAGAAUAAUUUCUUAAAAAAUUAAUUAGAAAUUAACAAAUCAUAUGUACGAAUAAAUAUAACAAACCUCUAUUUAUAAAAUAAAAAAAAAUGAUGAAUUUUUAUAUAAAAUAGUUUAAUGAAUAAAUUAUUUUGUUACAAAAUAAUUGAGAUUAAAUAGUUAGGGUGUAUAAAAAAUGAUUUCAAUUUUAAUAAUAAAUAACAUGAUGAUACGUUACUUUUGUGGACCCUACUUUAUGGUAUUCAACUAGUUGAAAAAAUUCAACUCUAAUUAUUCCACCUAAGUUUUUUUGGUUUUUCAAUAUUUUCAUUACAAGCUUUCAACAGUUGAAUAAUUUAUUCAACUAAAUCAUUGUAAAUGGUCUAAAAUUUCAAAUUAGAUCAAGAGCCAGCUCUAACAUAGAUUAGAGGAAGCUUGUGCUGUAGAUGACAAAUAAGGAUAAAAUAUUGCAAGGACAUCCAAUUAACCAACAUGCAACUUGGUGUGACGUAAAAUCAACAUGUUUUCCACUUUUAGUAAGGUUCUAGCUUGACCCAUCUAUUCUAUUAAUUUAAAGUUAUUUUUUUAUCUAAUUAUAAAUGUUGUCAUUUAAAUUUGGACCUAUUCAUAUCUCACUAAGAAUAGAUAUCAAUACAUUUAAAAUUAGAUAUUUUUAAGUUCCCUUAAUUUACUUUCAAUAUAUUAAAAAUGUGUCACUCCUAUUUUUAUGGUUAACAACAUUAAUUUCAUCCUAAUUACUAUACAUCCGUAAAACAUUCACUAUUUAUUUUCAUUUAAAACUAUGGACAUUUCAUUGCACUUAAUUGUUUCUUAUUUACUCAUUUUAAAAUUUCGAAAGCCUAAUAGAGUUGUUUUAGUUGUGGUGCGUCAGAAAUAUACAACAACAUUGCUUGGAAUUUGACUAUUAAUAUGAAUUUAUGAUUGAUAAAUUAUAGUUAUACAACUAUAUGAUUUUUAUAAUAUAAUUAACCUUAAUAUUUUCAUAGCUAUAGUGAUAUAUAAAUAUAUAGUUGCUAUAUUAUAUGAUUUUAAUUAAACAUAUUUUACUCAGAUGUGGACUAACAUAUUAUAUCAUCAUUUCUAAAAUGGUUAGUUAUACUAUAAAACUAUAUACUAAAUAUAUUGUAAACUAAAUUAAUUUAAAAAAUAUAUUGUAUACAAAAAUAAUAUUUAAUAAAAAAGUAAAAUAUAUAAAUUAGAUCAAUAUAUAUUUAAGAAAUCUAAACAAUAAAGUUACACAAUAUAUAAAACUAAAAUGUAAAUUUAAUAUCAAAAUUAUACAUUUAUAAAAGAAAAAAAUAUUCGCGCAGACGUGCGGGUUCAAACUCUAGUUAUAGUUUUAUAAUAGUGGUCUGAAUAUGGAGUCUAAGAUUAUGAAGAGUGGAAAUAUAUAAUUUUGAUACACUGAAAUUCUCAUAGAGAACAAAAAACAUGAAUAGUAUACUCUUUACAUCAAGAAGAUGCAAAAUAAAUAUGAAUUAUUUUGAUAAAAUUCUAUAACUGUUCUCAUAAGUGGAAUAUGUAAGUUUUGUUGCAUCCUCCACCACAACAAUGAUAAUGAUGCAAUCGUCAACCAAAAACCUUCAAAUAACCAUGCAUCUCAAACCAAAAAUGUGAAUCAUGAAUAUAAAGCACAUAUUAAAAAGGAAAACAUUCCGCAUUUACAGCAGAAAAGGUGUGGUGUCAACACCAUUGCAAAAUUACAGAAACACUUUUGUCUAAACAUCUUAGGACUCUUAUGCAAUGUUUACAAACAAAAAAGCAUAUCUCACAUUAUGCAAUUGAUUUAUAUGUAAAUUUUAUUAUAUAAUUGACAUCAUAUCAAUAAUUUGUAUGAAAUAAGUAAAUUUGAUCAACACGACUAAAGUCCAUACUUGUACUUUGCACUUUAUUUGAUAAUUUUUUCCUUUUCUUUUGCUUGGUUUAUACACAGUAUUUUUUUCUUCAAUUAUUUCUAUUUUUUUUACUGAUUGUUUGAUGUAGCUUUCAUCUAAAAGAAUUUUAUUUACAAAAACUGUAAGUGCUUAUAAGCUAUAUAUACACAUUUAUCAAAACUGUUAUUUAUUUUUGGUUCCAAAUGCUUUCGACUUUGCUUUUCUGUACGUCAAUUUAAAUUUUUGUUUACUUUAGUCUUGGUUCUUUAGAUCAACUAAUUCCUUCUUACUCAUAUAAUUGUAAUUUUCGUUCGGUUUGGUUUUGUUUUUAUUCAAUUUAAUUUCUGGUUUACUUUAGUGUUGGUUCAUUAGAUUCCUUCUUACUCAAAUCAAUUGUUCAUUCGGUUUGGUUCUAAUCGAGUUAUUUUGUUAAUUUUGAGAAUUCAAACUUAUGUCUAAUAGAGCAUUACAAAUUUGUAACACAACUUGUUCACGGUAUCCAAAUAAUUGACAUCACAUUAUGCAAUUGAUUUAUAUGUAAAUUUUAUUAUAUAAUUGACAUCAUAUCGAUAAUUUGUAUGAAAUAAAUAAAUUUGAUCCACACGACUAAAGUCCAUACUUGUACUUUGCACUUUAUUUGAUAAUUUUUUCCUUUUCUUUUGCUUGGUUUAUGCACAGUAUUUUGUUUCUUCCAUUAUUUCUAUUUUUUUUACUGAUUGUUUGAUGUAGCUUUCAUCUAAAAGAAUUUUAUUUACCAAAACUGUAAGUGCUUAUAAGUUAUAUAUACACAUUUAUCAAAACUGUUAUUUAUUUUUGGUUCCAAAUGCCUUCGACUUUGCUUUUCUGUACGUCAAUUUAAAUUUUUGUUUACUUUAGUCUUGGUUUUUUAGAUCAACUAAUUCCUUCUUAGAGCAUCUCCAAAAAGGAACUCUAUUUUGAAGUUUCCAAAACUCUAUAUUUGAAGUUUCAAUGUGUUCUUCUCCAAAAGUAAAACUUUAAACCUAACUUCAAAACUAUUUAUAUUUUACACUAUGGUCCUUAUAUUUGUCAUAGUUAAUGUAAAUUCUUAAAACUUCUAUAAAUAACUAGUAUAUAUAUAUAUAAAUAUUACAGAAAUAUUAAUUAAAAAAUCUUACACUAAUAAACAUUUUAAUAAGUUUUUAUUAUGGUUUUUUGUAAUAUUUUUGUUGUUUAAUCCUAGUUUUAAAAUAUUGUAAAUCUUGUUUUAAAAUUUUUAUUUAAUUUCAUGUGUAAAACUUAAAUUUAUAAAACAAAUUUGAAAUAUAUAUGAGAUAUAAAAGUUAUAAAGAUUAAAACAAUAAACAAAAAUAUAUUUAAGAAUUAUAAAUAUGAUGUAUAAUUGUAAGGACCAAAAUGCAAAUAAAAAGAUGAAACUUUAAAUUUGAAGUUUUGAAAAGUGAAACUCUAUAUUUGGAGUUUCACUCUUCAAAACUUCAAAUUUGAAGUUUUGAAGUUUCUUUUUGGAGAGCAAAAAACUCUAUAUUUAAAGUUAUAGAGUUUCUUUUGGAGAUGCUCUUACUCAUAUAAUUGUAAUUGUCGUUCGGUUUGGUUUUGCUUUUAUUCAAUUUAAUUUCUGGUUUACUUUAGUGUUGGUUCAUUAGAUUCGUUCUUACUCAAAUCAUUUCUUCAUUUGGUUUGGUUCUAAUCAAGUUACUUUGUUAAUUUUGAGAAUUCAAACUUAUGUCUAAUAGAGUAUUACAAAUUUGUAAACAACUUGUUCAGGGUAUCCAAAUAAUCGAAAUUGUAACUUGGGAGACUACUUCUAAAAUCACAUAUAUUUCCAAAGACAUCGAUAUAUACUCAGUUCCAGUUUAUAAGCUGUACGUUAGUUUUUUCUCCGGUUAUAGUAGUGUAGUCAUGCAUACCAUGCAUACCUGCAUGUGUGAUAUGUCUUACUGACGUCAGAAUUCUUUAACUUAGAACAUGCAACCUAGGUGAAUUCUUUUACUUCGUAUUCUUUUACUUAGACUAUAUUAUUAUUUUCUGUAUUAAAAAGUCAUAUUUUUCUUUUAGAUAUUAAUAUUAAUUUCACGAAUAACAGCAACUUAUACAAAAUAUAGAAGUUUCAAGGCAAAGGCAACGCAUGUUCUGGUUAGACUUGUCUUCGGAAAAUAUCAAAACCUAAUACAAGAAUACAAAUUUGGGAACAAGACAAUAGUACUUCUGUGGUACUCAAAUAACUAGAAUAAUAUUCUCUUUAAGAAAAAAUCUUAUCUUCUGUUAACGUGGCGGCUUAUAACAUGUGUUUUUUCACUAAAUUUACACUCAAAUAAUAAAAUAAAAAGAAGUAAGAAGAAAAAUAAAAUAAAAGCCGUUAAAAUAAAUAUCGUUUCUGAUUUUAAUUUCAUCAAUAUAAUUAACACCCCACUCUUCACAGGAACAUUCACCACUCUCACUCAUCAGUGUCAAACAAUGGCAUCAUCUAUCAACGAAAUAUUCUCCAAAGAUAAUUUCAAGAAAAACAAGAAACUUGUUUUACUAUCAGCUGCCGUAGCAUUGCUCCUCGUGGCUGCCGUCACCGGAAUCGCCGCCGGAGCUUCAAAAGCCAACGGAAACAGAAAAGAACCUCUAUCACCGUCCUCUCACGCCGUGCUAAGAUCCGCUUGCAGCUCCACGCUGUACCCUGAGCUCUGCAUCUCCGCCGUGGCCACGUCUGGCGGCGUCAAACUGACGUCGCAGAAAGACGUCAUUGAGGCCUCGCUUAACCUAACAACAACCGCCGUGGAACACAAUUACUUCACCGUGAAGAAACUGAUCAAGAACAUGAAAGGACUGACUCCACGUGAGAAGACGGCGCUUCAUGACUGUUUGGAGACUAUUGAUGAGACCCUUGAUGAGCUUCAUGAGACAUUAGAAGAUCUCCAAAUGUAUCCUAACAAGAAAACUCUGAGGGAACACGCCGGUGAUCUCAAAACCCUAAUAAGCUCUGCCAUUACCAACCAGGAGACUUGUCUCGAUGGAUUCUCUCAUGAUGAUGCUGACAAGAAAGUUCGUAAGUUCUUGUUGAAGGGUCAGGUAUGUAAAAACAUCCAUUCUUUACCCAUUACGGCUAUCAUGUGGAAUUGCAUAAUAACUAAAUAUAAAUACGUGAAAUGUAUAAGAUAAGAUCAGUAUGAAAAAAAAUUGAUUUAAUUUAAAAUUUUCAAAUGUGGACAGAUAAAAUGCAUUUGUUUUGGUUCAAUAAAUUUAGUAUGGAAUCUGAAAUGGCUCAACAUAACGUCACUAUUCUGUUAUUUCAUCGCGGGGCUACGAAUGAAUGCGAUGAAACAAAAAUUAUAGAUAACAAGAAAACUAAAUAAAUCACACAUCGCAUCACAUUACUUUGACAAUUCUCUAUGUUUUUUUGUCACAAUACAAUUCUCUAUAUUUUUAUUGGUAUUUACUUUCUGAUAAUGAAAUGUUGUUAGCUAGUGCCUAGUGUUGGUAGAAAUAGUUGCUAUCAGUUGCUAUUGGAGUGUAUUUCAUUCUAAAAAUUUGUGAUAACAUGAUUAUUUUUAAUAGGCAUGUGCAUUUUACCGGGACCCAAAAAUCUGAUCCAGAACCGACCGAAAAUACCCAAUCUCAAAACGAACAAAAAGUUUACAAAUACCUAUUAGAUCUAAAAUUUCUCUACCGGAAGAACCAUAACCGAAAAAACCGACCGAAUAGACCCGGAUCCGAAAAGAACUGAUCUAAAUAGACCCGUCCCGAUAAAAACCGAUUCAUACCCGAUUUAAAACAUGAAUACUCAAACUAUGAUUUGUUUGUAUUCUAUUUUCCAUAUUUUAUUUUUAUGAGUUAGUUGAAAAUACUUUUUUGUUUUUUUUUUGAAAAAAAAAUAAUUUUUUUUGUUUUGUAGCAUUUUUCAAGUAAUACGAUGUUUUAAAUGUAGAAUUUAAAGUUUAAAAAUGUUUUAUUUUAAUUAUUAAUUAAAUUAUUUUUGUAAAAUUUUAUAUAUAUGACAUAUUUUAACUAAAUUUGAUGGGGUUAGGGUAUUGUAUGUUUUUUUAGAUCAUAAAUAUCCGAACCUAAUCUAGACUCAAAAAUUACAGGUAUUUUAUAGACACCAAACUGACCCAAACCCGUAAAAAACCAAUCCAAACCAAAAAUUUACAAAUACCUAUUGGAUGAAAUUUCUAGGACCCAAAAGAAAUUGGUCCAAACCGGACCAGAAAGCCCAAGCCUAGUUUUUAAAUAAAGUUUUAUAACGAGAUAAGUUAUGUGUAGGUACACGUCGAGCAUAUGUGCAGCAACGCCCUAGCAAUGAUCAAGAACAUGACUGAUACCGACAUAGCCAACUUCGAACUAAAAGCUAAAUUGUCCUCAAACAACCGUAAACUCAAGGAGGAGAAGACUCCGGAGGCCGUAGAUAUUGCCGGCUCCGAAGAAUUAGACGCCAAGGGGUGGCCUACUUGGUUAUCCGCGGGAGAUAGGAGGCUUCUUCAAGGGUCUUCAGUGAGAGCCGAUGCUACUGUGGCUGCUAAUGGUAGCGGUAAAUUCAAGACUAUUGCGG